Long non-coding RNA from Cuculus canorus (common cuckoo), 6631 nucleotides. RefSeq lists it as uncharacterized. Lineage: Eukaryota; Metazoa; Chordata; Aves; Cuculiformes; Cuculidae. The record is from RefSeq and is a predicted model, not a curated record. The transcript is spliced from 2 exons.
UUAAAAACUGGUAUUCAAUAACACAAACAACUGAUAAUAUUUAGCUCCUUGAGACAUGGAUAUUUUACUUACUGAAAAAAUGCCACUGUAUGUCUGAAUUACUCUGUGAAAACAGUCACCAGUCUGCAGCACUUCCAGGAAAAGACAUGCAAUGCCUUCAGCAGCCUCUCCUCCCUUUCUGCAAUCUUUGUUUCUCCUUCUCAGUCACACAGAUGGUAGGAAAGUUUUGCUUUUGAAAUUCAUAAUUGUCUUCCCCGUGGGCAUGUGACGAUGUGCUUAUUGCAUCAUCUCUCCUGUCUCUGAAUACUUUAAAAAAGUUGGCUUACUUAUUAGCUCUUGGGAAAGGUGAGAGCAGGAACUGGUAUUUCCACUUGUGCUCCCAGUUACAUGCCGUGGAAGUGAGGGAAUGUAUUUGAAACAGAUGUUAACAUGGCCACUGUAUAAAUUUGUCCAAGCAUAAAUAUAUGUCCAAGUAUAAAUAUGUUUGUUCCAUGCAUCCAGAAUUGCUGUACUGUGGCUAUCGGAGGCACCGCCUGGAAAGAAACAGAUACAUAUUGUUAUAGAAAAGGAUUCUCUUAAGGUGGCACUUAAGAGGCAAACUGUCAGCUCUGUCUAGAUUAAAAGGAAGCACUAAAUUACCUUAUGGUUUUAAGUGUUUUAUUUGCUAAAGUAUUUUAUUUCAAAUAAUAAAGGGUCAUAUGUUCUUCUUUACAGACAAAUAAGCUCUAAUUUUUCAAGACAGAGAAAAUAGCCCAACUAUUGCAUUGAAAUCAGCUACAAUUCUUGCUCUGGGAAGGAGAUAACCUGACCUCGCAGUCUAGGGAGCAAGCUGUUACUGUGGGGUUCUGUACGAGCACAGUUGAGGGUAAAGAGCAGUGCGCCAGCCCGGAUAGCACAGGGUUUGUAUCCCAGAAAACAGGCCGCGGUGAGGGAGACAACCAGGGUGGCUGUGAAAAGAUCUUGCAGUAACUGCCUAAAGCCCAUCCUGGCAGCAUUAAUGACAGGAGAUGGGGCAAGAGCCCCUUUCCCAAAAUAACCUCUAUACUCUGAUCUUGGAGAGCGAGGAAGGAGCUCCAUGAGCUCAGGCACAUUCUAUUCUUUUUAGUCUAACAAUUUGCUCCGUCGCAGAUGAGGCAUCUGUUUCUCCCCUCUCGUGUGUGGAAAGAGAAACAGAUGGCCCAAAACACGAGUGCUUUUUCAUCAGCUUUUCCUUCAAGUUAUUCCAGUCCCACACAGGCAGAAGAAUUGUUCAGGCUGCCUCCUCGCGACUCACUGCUGACAUGCAGGCACCUCUUUUGCAUGAAGCUAUGCCAGCAGUUCACAAGCACCUUAUCAGGGUCAUGAGAUAUUUCAAUAGUCCAGAAAUUUGAAUGCUGCAGUAGCAGGAGAAAAGCAGAAGAGUAGAAACAAAAGUUUCUUUUCGGUAUAAAAUACACAUGCAAAUGAUUUUGAAAAUUUACAAAUUGCUAUCGCAAAGAAGUUAGCAAAUAAUCAAAGAUAUUUUUAAAAACUGCUGAAAUGCUUUCAAAAUUCAGUGCUAUAAACACCUAGGAUGCAUGCAGUCCUCCUUAGGAUACUCAGUACACAUCUCAGCAGGAAAGAAAAUGUUACUUCUUGCCACUGCUCUUCAAAAUUCAAGUUUUCGAGCACAACCAAAGAAUCUCAGACUACAGACAUUGGGGGGGUUGGUUUUAAAGUUUUAUUCUUAAUUACAGCAAAGGCAAUUUUGGAGCCUGGUAUAAGGGCUGAGGCAAAAGCUUAGAUAUGAGGUUACCAGAAAGAUGGAAAUGAAUCAUAGAAUCAUAGAAUAGUUUGAGUUGGAAGGGACCUUAAAGAUCAUUGAGAUCCAACCCCUGCCAUGGGCAGGGACACCUCCCACUGGAUCAGGGACUCCAAGCCCCAUCCAACCUGGCCUUGAACAUCUCCAGGGAUGGGGCAGCCACCACUUCCCUCAGCAGCCUGUUCCAAUGCCUCACAGCCUCUUCUUCCCGAGAUCUCAUCUCAAUCUCCCCUCUUUCAGAUGAAAACAAUUCCCCUCCUCCUAUCCCUGCUCUCCCUGAUCAAGAGCCCCUCCCCAGCUUUACUGUACUUAUAUACUGAAUAUAUAGGAUGAAUCAUUAAAUAAAAACAUUCUUCUCUGUUGUUGGAGAGGAAUAUAAAGGAAUAUUAGCCAGUAAAAUGAAAAUAAUAGUCAAGACAUAUGGUGAGCUUAUGGAGGAGGAAAAUGCUCAUGGGGGUGGUACCCCAUGGUACGAGGGAAGUCCUGCCAAGAUCAUACAUUCACAGAAUCAUAGAGUCAUGGAAUCACAAGGUUAGAAAAGACCUCUUGGAUCACUGAAUCCAACCAUUCCUCUCUGCCACUAAACCAUGUCCCCGAGUACCUCCUCUAUUUGUCUUUCAAACCCCACCAGGGGUGGGAACUCCCCCGGCUCCCCAGGCAGCCUCUGACAGGGCCCAAUGACCCUUGCUGUGAAAAAUUUUUUCCUGAUAUCCAGUCUGACCCUCCCCUGGCAAAGCUUGAGGCCAUUCCCCCUUGUCCUGUCCCCUGUCACUUGGGAGAAGAGCCCAGCUCCCUCCUCUCCACAACCUCCUUUCAGGCAGCUGUAGAGAGAAAUGAGGUCUCCCCUCAGCCUCCUCUUCUCCAGGCUAAACAACCCCAGCUCUCUCAGCCGCUCCUCGUAACCUUUGUUCUCCAGCCCCUCACCAGCUUCGUUGCUCUUCUCUGGACACACUCCAGAGCCUCAAUAUCCUUCUUGUAGUGAGGGGCCAGAACUGAACCCAGGAUUCGAGGAGCAUGAGCUGUGCUCCUUUGCUUCUUUCCUCCCUGGCCCCGGUGCAGCACCUGUGUCCCUGCACUCACAGACGGCUCUGCGCACUCUGCCGCUCCUGGCGUGACCCCAAGCUCAGCUGCACGGGGUGCACGGGCUCCUCGCCAGGGAGAGAGAGACCAGGGCUGGUACAGCUUCAGGAGAUGACGUGCCCACCAAAGGACUGUGCUGCACAAACUCCAUCCAGCAGGAUCCCAUGUGGUGAAACUCCAUGUCUGGAACAAACCAUGGAUCCAGUUGUCCAUCAUGCAGUUAUAGCCAUUCAGAAACAGGCCGCGGUUGACUAUUCCCACAAAAUAAUUCAAGAGUCUCCUAGAAUUCACAGAAAAAAUAAGCAAACACAGUAUUUAGUUUAAAUUGAAACCUAAGCAUUAGUUUGAAUAGGCUUUAUAGACACUACAAUCCCACUGAAAUCCAGGGAAAGCUCAGAAAUAGGAACACGAUGGAGUAUGCCGCAGGUUAUUAGCUGAAGCAAUUGCAGGAACAUAACCGUCAAAUAUUGCAAGGCCAACUGUGGCAAAUAUACUUAAGUAGUACAAAUCGAGACACAACAAAUAAUGGCAGGAAUGAGUGGUAACGGGAUAUUACUGAUUCGGUGCCAUCGCUUACCCGAGUGUGACGAUGGGUCCCUGCCAGCAGGCGCCCAGAAGUAACACAUACCCUGAAAGCUCGAUCCAAGGAGUGACGGUUAUGCUUGGGACACGAAGGCUGGCAUCCCUGUGAAGGACAAACUCAGAACGUUCAAGUCAAGGGCAGACAGUCAUCGGAACGCGAGCUCCCACAGCAAUGUGACAGCCCAGAGAUGAAUGGGAUCAGGUGAACGUGCUGACAACUCACGGUUAAGGAGAUUGACAGUCUGGCAGAAUGUUUUGGUCAACAGUACGCCAAAAAGCCUCAUCAGUGUCGCCUGUUCUUGUUUGCAAUUCUAGGGGUUGUAUUUAUUGCUCUUUAUCACACUUCGGAACUAAACCUAAUCACAGCACACCCAAACAAAUCAAAACCCACUGGGAAGGGAUCACAGCUGCCACGGUACUGACCACCAUUUCCACCAACUUCUCUGUCAUUUGAGUUGCAGACUGAAAUCUUGGCCCCUUUGAAGCGAGCAGCAGAAAUCCCAUUGCCUCAGCAGGGCCAGGCUACCCUCGGAAGGAAUUCCCUUCCAGUCUGCAGAGUUGAAGUUCUUGGAUUACACAAAAUGGGAAACAAAGAGUUUUAAAUGAUUUAUUUGAUUUCUCCACAUGAUCACAGUUAUAGUUUUACAUCAAUAGGGUCUGUUACUACUUACAAACAGAAUGCAUAUUAAAAUGAAAGCACUCCUUUCUCCCCCAUAGUUACAAAAGAGGUCUCAAGCCUCCCCAGAACAGAAGCUUCUUGUAAGCAUAAUAGUUUUUGAAGUCUUUACCAGUCUGCAUUCAAGACCUAAUUCUAACAGUUUAAUACAACUCAAAGCUGAUUUAAGUUCCUAGCAGGAGAUAGGCAACCUCAAAGUGACUGCAGACUUAUAGUAAUACUAAUUUACACACUAUGUACAAUUUAGAGAAUUGUCUAUUCCCCCUACUGGUCCCGUUAUCACCACCCCCUUUCCUCUUUUCCAAAUUUAAUCUUGUUAUUGGUUCCACUUUUCUUAUAAAUAUAUACACAAUAAUCCAUUUUGCAGGCAAGAAGUGCGAUGGUAUUUUACAACGGAACAGCAAAAUGCAUGCUUAACUGCAGAAAACACACAGCUUCAUAUGGAACAGCAAGUCAACAUUUAGAGAUUCAUUGUUUAAAUAUCUGCUGACUGUCUUUCAGCUCAUUUUAUCAAGAAACAAGAGGCUUCUGCUGCAUGCAGUACAUGAUGGGAAAAUCAUUCUACACCGUAUGUUGGACUUGGCUUUUUGUUAGCAAUACAAGACGCACAUUAUAUUAGGAUGAACUUUGUUUUUUGUUUUUACAUCGUUUUACAUUUCAUUCUUAACUUAAAAAAAUAAAAACCCCAAAUAUAUAUUUGAUUGUUGUCCCAGAAAAGAUUUUUGUUGCCACACCUUCAUUCUUUACACUUCCCUUUCAUUUGUUCCAAUCAGCAUUACUGCUUUGCCACAUCGGUUAUGGGAAAAGAGAAACACGGUCGCUCUGUGCAGUUGCGCACCAGUUUCAAAUUGGCAAUGGCAUUUGAGAAAAAACGCUCUCGAUUCUACUCCUGCCUGCAGGCUGAACAAAUUCAUUCUCUUAACCACAUGCAGUGUUGAAGUACGAUCAUUUCCCUCUUCUAGGCACGAUCCACACUGCUUUAAGCACUUAUUAAUCAAGGACAGAGUCAGAGAGGUUACACGACAGCCCUAAACGAGCAGCAGAGUUCUUAACAGUUCUGCUGAACUGUUUGCUUCAAGUACAUACAAACUCACGGUCUGAGAAAAAACCCCAAUGAAAAUCAAAUCAGUUUGUCCUCAUUGAGAUAAUGAGAGUUUACAAAUACUGUGCUUUUGUAUGAACGCUUUUGUUUUUCAACUGGCCUCAAAACGCCCUGUGAUUUUACACAUGCACCUUAAUGCAUCGGAGAGGAGGCACCAACUCUUUCCCCAAGCGUACAUGGAAUCACGGGUAAAUGGGUUUUUGCACGCACGUCUGUGACCCUCCUGAAUUGGCUGCACAUGGAAGAUCUGCGGCCCAGCAUCGCAACGUGGCCUGCGGUGAAAGUUUAGCCUGUUGGUCUGUAACUCUAAUUUAAAUGAAAGAAAGGCGUUUUUAAACAUAAAGCACAUGCAGAUCUGGGAGACUGAACAUCUUCCUUCUUAAUUAACACAGCCAGAGUCAGGUUCUCCUCUCCACUGCUACCGCAUAUGCUGCAUUUACGUCAAUACACAGACAAUUUUACUUACAGUACAACUUUACAUCCAAAACAAGCACAGCCUCCAUCACUCAGUGAAGAGGAGCAUUCUUACCUUGGUUUUAAUUAAAAGAUGCAGUUUCUGAAAAAUGUUUGUACCUGAAUGGUUCUUUAUCUUUUCUGGAACAACCUUUAGAUUACAGUUAGACUCUACUAUUGGUACAGAUGUAUGAAGAAAAGUCUACAUAUUGAAAUAUGUUAUCACUUUACUUCAACUAAUAUCAACGGUAACACUGAUAUAAUUUUGCAAAUAUACAAUAUGUAGAGUGUAGCCUCACACUAAGAACAUCAGAUGACAUGCAGACAGUUCUACUUUCCCUUCUAAGAACAGUAUAUAUUCUUUAAACUGCAAGGAACAGAGCCUCAGGGGACCCAUAUAAGUCCUCUUAAGGUGAGCCGAGAAUUUAGAAUAGUAUGAACGAUAUUAAAAAUAAUCAUGUAAUUACUUGUUUUCCUUUCUUUUCGUGACGAUAAUUUAGAGGAGAAGGAGCAGAAGGGGAAAACAUAUUGCACAUGUGUGAAACAAACGUGGACAGCUUUGAACAAAAGGCUAAACUCUAGAUUGCUGUAUUUGCUCUCUGUGGAGGUUAACAAAGUGCUCAGUUUGCAGUUUUGCUGGUAUCGUGAUAUCAAUGGUAUGAAAGGGAAAAAAUUACUCAACCUCCCCCCCCGACCCCAGUAUGAGAGGUGCCAUGAGCGAGCUAAUAGGAAAAGUCACUCUCUGGUUCUCAUGUCCCCAUUAUUUCUAACAAUUUUAUUACUGUUAAAUACAAAACCGACUAUUGGUCGUUAUUAAUACUUUUACCCAUUGCAGACUGGAGCUUUUUGCUCAUCCUCUUCAAGGUUUGCUUUUAGGCUGGUACAGUGUUGCAGUUGUGAUUCCUUUGUCUCUACUGUUUAGGUGCAAAGUCCUUGCAGUGGCUCAAAAUGCUGAAAC